GCUAAUACCGGAUAACAACAGAUGAUGCCUAUCAACUGUUUAAAAGAUGGUUCUGCUAUCACUCUUGGAUGGACCUGCGGUGCAUUAGCUAGUUGGUAGGGUAACGGCCUACCAAGGCGAUGAUGCAUAGCCGAGUUGAGAGACUGAUCGGCCACAUUGGGACUGAGACACGGCCCAAACUCCUACGGGAGGCAGCAGCU
Molecule: ribosomal RNA, 200 nt
Filed under: uncultured Lactobacillus sp.
Lineage: Bacteria; Bacillati; Bacillota; Bacilli; Lactobacillales; Lactobacillaceae
Description: partial 16S ribosomal RNA
Rfam family: Bacterial small subunit ribosomal RNA
Source: RNAcentral